Molecule: unclassified non-coding RNA, 240 nt
Filed under: soil metagenome
Description: partial contains 5.8S ribosomal RNA, internal transcribed spacer 2, and large subunit ribosomal RNA
Source: RNAcentral
AACGCACGAGACCUGCGGACCUGCGGAAGGAUCAUCGAAGAAUUAUUAUUUCCAAUUAUAAAAAAGGGGAGAGGAAAAAGGGGGGGAGGAACUCUCUCUAUAAGAGGCCUUCUCACUCUCUUUCUUUCUCCUUCUUUAUAAACAAACAAACAAACAAUCGCAACUAUAACUAUAAAAAGGAUAAUUUGGUUUGGUUUGAAUGAAUGAAUGAAUGGUUUGAAUGAAUUUUUGUUUGUGAAG